Molecule: ribosomal RNA, 416 nt
Filed under: Bacillota bacterium
Lineage: Bacteria; Bacillati; Bacillota
Description: Firmicutes bacterium partial 16S ribosomal RNA
Rfam family: Bacterial small subunit ribosomal RNA
Source: RNAcentral
UGGGGAAUAUUGCACAAUGGGCGAAAGCCUGAUGCAGCGACGCCGCGUGAGGGAUGGCGGCCUUCGGGUUGUAAACCUCUUUCAGUAGGGAAGAAGCCCUCUUUGGGGGUGACGGUACUUGCAGAAGAAGCGCCGGCUAACUACGUGCCAGCAGCCGCGGUAAUACGUAGGGCGCAAGCGUUAUCCGGAAUUAUUGGGCGUAAAGAGCUCGUAGGCGGUUUGUCGCGUCUGCUGUGAAAGACCGGGGCUCAACUCCGGUUCUGCAGUGGGUACGGGCAGACUAGAGUGCAGUAGGGGAGACUGGAAUUCCUGGUGUAGCGGUGAAAUGCGCAGAUAUCAGGAGGAACACCGAUGGCGAAGGCAGGUCUCUGGGCUGUAACUGACGCUGAGGAGCGAAAGCAUGGGGAGCGAACAGG